Manis javanica (Malayan pangolin) is the source of this 2111-nucleotide long non-coding RNA. RefSeq lists it as uncharacterized. NCBI's taxonomy places the organism in Eukaryota, Metazoa, Chordata, Mammalia, Pholidota, Manidae. The record is from RefSeq and is a predicted model, not a curated record.
GGCUGGCUGAGCGCAGCCGUGUCUCCAGCCUGAGCGCGCCUCCUAAGGGACCCGCAGGGUCGCCCGGAGGGGGAGCGCUGCGGGCCGCGCCGGGUGGCCUCCCUGUCCCCCGGCCUCACCUGAGCGGGGCGCGGGCGACAGUCAUCGCGGGGGGCCUGGUGCGGAGCUGCAGCGGGCACAGGGCGCCGGGCACCGCUGCUCAGAAAGAUUCAUGCCACUCCCUUUCCCACCUGGCUUAGUAGCCCUGGAAGCUGACCUUUAUGCAUCAAUGGUCCCCUUGCUCCUGGGGUUUCUGGCUGGGUUUGGCCAAUGGGAGGCACUGACAGGGAGGAAAGACUGGAAGGCAAGAGGGUAUGGAUCCUCAGCUUCCUUUCUCACUGGCUGCAGGUGAAGGAAUGCCUUGCAUUAAACCGUGAAGUCCCUUAAAUGGUGGUAAAGUACUUAUCAAACUGUCCUACCUAUACCCAGUUGAAAGAAAUCCUUUGUCUACAGACUACUCACUGUUAUACUAAAGGAAAGCAAGCCAUGGAAGAGGAGAACAGGAAAAAAAUGCUAAAUAAAUAAUGUCCAGAUAGUCACAUGGGUCCAGCUCACCCAUGGAAACCAAACCAAGCCAUGCAGCUGGCAGAGUGGCAGCGGCCAAGUCUGAACAUGCCUGUCGGUGCUUCCCCCUGCCUUCUUCUUGCAGCUCUCCCAGAAGUUCACACAGCUGGUGCAGCCAAAGUAGAGGGAGGCCACCGUUGGUGGGGAAACACCAUGCGCUGGAUGGAGAAGUACACAUCUGCCUUAUUUGACACUCACAACAACCCUAGGAGGAGCUGGGCCGCCGGCAGUUACAAGCAGACUCACAGAAUCUCAUUAUGCCCCAAAGUGAGACUUGGCAGCAGCGUCCAGGCAAGCUCUUUAGAAUCACCCAACUUUGGUGCUGUGGGCUAUGAUGGGGAGAAAGUCCUGGAGAUUCUUCACUUUCGCAGCUGCUUCCAGGCUGUCUCCAACACCAGCUGCUUCAGAACUACAGGCUGAGAUCUUUUGCCUAGGUUCCUUCAUCCUCUCUCCACUUGCUCUUCCCUAUUUUUGAGUUCUCUCAUACUUGGAAUGUGUGGAGUAGUUUUUAUUUUCCUGAAAGAACCCAGACUGAUACACAGGCCUGACAAGAUGAGUGCUCAAGGUCACCUUCAGUUCCCAGAGUGGAAACCUGGCUGGAUUUUGAAGUACUAUUUAACAUGCCUAGGGAUAAGUAUAAUUAGAGCUAUAUUCCAGAAGGUACAUGAACAUCACUUUUUCUGUCCAGUUUACCACAAAGCAGCCUGGUGUUAAUAUCAAGUUGCCUUUUCUGAGGCAAUGGAGGAGCUCCUCAGGUAUGUUUUAUAUGGUGAUCUGGUAUGUGUUUUUGUGUACAUGUGUGUACAUAUGUGCUUUGGGGGGAUGGAUGGAUGCUCCUACAUCCAAAUGUCUCCAGAGAGGACCAGGGUCUUUGCGGGAAGAAGAGCAUCCAAUUAUUCUGAGCAGGUGAGUUCACUGUAUUACACAUGCUUCCCCACACUGUUUGGUAGGGACUCCAAUGGCUCUUUCAGGACCAUGAGGUCCACUCAGACCCCCAGCAGUUUCCAAAAGACUGAGAAGUAAGCAGAUGGAUUAAAAAAAUCAAUAACCAUUUGGAAACUGGUAGGGGUUCCAGUUCUUUCUUUUAUUGGGAAAACAGCCUUAUACAUGUCCUCUCAUCACUUUGAGGCUUUAUUUAUUUAUUUGUGAAACAGUGCAACUGAACAGGAUUAAUAGUUUUGGAUUUGUCAGGUAUGUGAAGUUAAUGCAAAGUGGUGGUGAAUUCAAAUGUACACCAAGCAUGGAUUAAACCUCUCUCACCUAUGUGCACUGUUUAUAGACGCUGUGGUGAUAAUAACCAACAACAAAAAUAUCUUUGUAAAUAGAAUGAUACAGAAUAUAUUCAUUCAUGUCUUCUUUAUGUCAGCAUGCUUUUAAGAUUCACCCACUGUUGCAUUUAUUGAUAGUUUGUUCCCUUUUAUUGUGGUAUAGUACUCCACUGAAUGAAUAUACCACAUUUGCUUAUCCAUUCACCCGUUUACAGACAUUUGGGUUGUUUCCAGUUUGGC